GAAGAAGAGGUAGGCUCGGGUUCAGACCAAGCAGGCGAGAGGGAGUAGACGGGAUGUCCCAGGUUGGCAGUGACCAGUGACAGCGGAGUCACCCAACCCAGCCGCCUCACCCUCCCGGGGCGCUGGUCUCUCCCCUUGAACUGAAACCCAAGGGGCCGCCACACCGGGUGGGCGGGACCGACUAUUCCCUGACAGGCCCCUGGAGCUGCAUGCCAAGCGGGGCUGCGCCGAGCCGCUGAGCGCAGAGAGGAGCACCCGGCACCCAUCUGGCCGGACUCGGGGCCGCACCCGAGCGCGCCGGGCAGCAGUGGGCGCUCGAGAUCCUCCUCUGCCCUACGCGCUUUCCCUCCGGGCCCGGCCUCCUCCGUCCCCUCCUUCUGCUCCUGCUCCUCCUCCCGCUCCUCCCCUCCUCGGGAUUGAGCACCAAAACGCCCGCCUGCAAGGUCCUCGGCGCGCUGGCAGCCAGAAGCCGCUGCCACCACCUCUGGGUCUCAGUGGGUGCCUGCGCCCUCUCGCCGCCCACCCGCCCGCCCCGGGUCUUCCUGAAACUUGCUCCACCCGCCGCGGGUGCUGGUCAUUGCUGCCCAUGGCCCAACCCAGGAGCCUCUUUAGGGCGCCCGACGGGCUGGACGGCUGCGCCGCUCAGUAAUUGAAGGCCUGAGACGCCCAUGUGCCACUGAUUGGAAGGCUUCCCUGCUGCGGCGCUUCAUGAUCCAGCAGCGCGUGGACCAGUGAAGCUGCGGUGGUGUCCAGCAUGGCCGCGCUGCUCCUGGGCGCGGUGCUGCUGGUGGCCCAGUCCCAGCUAGUGCCUUCCCGCCCCGCAGAGCUCGGCCAACAGGAGCUUCUGCGGAAAGCAGGGACCCUCCAGGAUGACAUCCGCGAGGGCGCAGCCCCAAACGGCUCUGCCCAGCAGCUGCCGCAGACCAUCAUCAUCGGCGUGCGCAAGGGCGGCACACGCGCGCUGCUGGAGAUGCUCAGCCUGCACCCCGACGUGGCGGCCGCGGAGAACGAGGUUCACUUCUUUGACUGGGAGGAGCAUUACAGCCACGGCCUGGGCUGGUACCUAAGCCAGAUGCCCUUCUCCUGGCCGCACCAGCUCACGGUGGAAAAGACCCCUGCGUACUUCACGUCGCCCAAAGUGCCUGAGCGAGUCCACAGCAUGAACCCGUCCAUCCAGCUGCUGCUCAUCCUGCGAGACCCGUCGGAGCGCGUGCUCUCUGACUACACCCAAGUGUUCUACAACCACAUGCAGAAGCGCAAGCCCUACCCCUCCAUCGAGGAGUUCCUGGUGCGCGACGGCCGGCUCAACGUGGACUACAAGGCCCUCAACCGCAGCCUCUACCACGUGCACAUGCAGAACUGGCUGCGCUUCUUCCCGCUGCGCCACAUCCACAUCGUGGACGGCGACCGCCUCAUCAGGGACCCUUUCCCCGAGAUCCAAAAGGUAGAGAGGUUCCUGAAGCUGUCGCCUCAGAUCAAUGCCUCAAACUUCUACUUUAACAAAACUAAGGGCUUUUACUGCCUGCGGGACAGCGGCCGGGACCGCUGCUUACAUGAGUCCAAAGGCCGAGCGCACCCCCAGGUGGAUCCCAAACUACUCAAUAAACUGCACGAAUAUUUUCAUGAGCCAAAUAAGAAAUUCUUCGAGCUUGUUGGCAGGACAUUUGACUGGCACUGAUUUGCGAUAAGCUAAGCUCAGAAACUUUCCUACUGUGCCAAAUAUCUUCCAUCCUAAGAGGUAUGUCCCAGCUACAGGAAGGGCAAGAAGAAGCCUGCAUUUUUCUCAGCAGUGUUAUCAGGGAAGUGAGUCACCUUGGUAUGUUUCAGCAGCCCCAGCCUGACCUGACCUUAGCAUGGCCUGUGCCCCACCCUAUAUCAUGCACAGAGAGCAAAGAGGAUGCCCUCCUCUUUAGAAUCUAUUAAAGUUGUCAUUAAACCAUCGUCUCCCCAGAGGAAGUAGCAAAAAUAUUUACAGCAGGCUCCUGGCGGACAUGGGACUUUUCAAUAGGCAGAGAGCCUCCCUCGGCAGCACAUCAUUGGAUCUUGCUUUUAUCACACUCGUUGAAUUGCUGAAGAAAUAAGAGGGCCCAGAAAGGUUAAGACAAGUUUCCAAGCCUGUUCACAAAUAUGGUGACUGAAAGGAAAGUGCAAUGAGAGUCUCUGACUCUGAAGAAGAUAUUCUUUGCAAACUGCCUAGUUGUGACUAAAGGAAUGUUCAAAUGAGUCUACCAUGAGCAAGGAAUCAGAGGUCCUCGUAGCAACGUCUGCUCAUUCAUUUUUGGUACAACCCAGCCAGUCCUUGAAAAGAGAGGUGGAGGAUGGCAAGACUGAAAAGGGCACAACGAAUUGUAAAGGUCAAGAGAUAUCUCAGCCUCACCCAUCUAUUUAUUAAAAUCCAACCUUACCUUAUUCACAAUUGUCAAAAUGUAGAAACAACCCAUGUCCCAUAACUGAUUAAUGAAUAAACAAAAUGUGACAUGGUACACAGUAGAAUAUUAUUUAGGCAAGAAAAUAUAUGAAGUUCUGAUACACAUUGCAGAAAGGAUGAGCCUUGAAACUAUUAUGCUAAGUGAAAUAAACCAAACAUAAAAGAAUAAACCUCAUAUGAUUCCACUUAUAUGAAAUAUCUAUAAUAAGAAAAUCCACAGAGCUAGAAAGUAGAUUAGCAGAUACCAGGGGCUGCCAGGGGGAGGUGGGGAGGGAGGUUGGACAAUGAAGUGUUAUUGCUUAACAGGUAUAAAUUUUCUGUUUGGGUUGUGAAAACGUUUUAGAAAUAAUGGUGAUGGAUACACAACAUUUUGAAAGCAAUUAAUGGCUCUGAAUCAUAUAAUCAUACACAUGAGGUUAAAAUGGCAAAUAUGUAUAUUUUACCACCAUGUGAGUGUGUGUGAGAGUGUGUGAGUGUGUGUGUGUGUUUCUGUGUGUGUCCCCAAACAGGGGAAAACAUUAAUCUUAGGUUCUAUGUGAACUUUGUAUUUAAUUGCAAGCAAGUCAACUAUAUUCUUGAUUCAUUUGUAGAAUAUGCAUAAAAUCUUCUAAAAAAUGGUAAAUCUAUGCAUCACUGUUGCAUGACAAUUUCAGUUUCCAAUUGCUGCAUUAUUUAUCAGUUUAUAGAUGGGAAAUAAACAUGAUACUUAAUGUGAAGCAGACCUAAUUACACCCACUUUAUAUGUGCCUAACUUGUGACUUAGCUUUAAACCAAAUAAAUCAUUUACACUUAUAAGUUAAACUACUGCAUACAGAGUUUUCAAUUUCUCCUAUCCUGAGAAGUAUAUUAUUGCCUCUCUAAAUCAUGUUGUUCCCAAUCUACCUGUGAAAUGUCCAGCAACAGAACCUCACAGUGAACGCACCAUCAGUCGGCAAUUUCCAGGGUGGACAUUAACCCCUUGCCCUCUCAGUUCUGUUUAACAAAAAUUCCUGAUCAUGGGGUUGAACAUAGCUGAUCAAACUGGAGUAAGUACUAAAUAGAUGUGCUCUUUAAUAGUAAAAAACAGAUAGUAUACUUGAGCGCUAAUAAAAUUAACCAAAAGAAUACAUCAGCAAGGAGUGAGUGUACUUUCAAAUUCUUCUUGUUUUGUUUAUCUCCGUCAGGCACACAGGCUAAAUUCAGCCGGUAUUACUUUGCUCACAUGCCAAUUUCCUGCUAGUCUGCAAGUGAAAAAAAUUCAUAUAAUUGAAAAUAAUACGGACUAUAUUUAAUGUUACCUAGAGAAGAUUUGACACCUUAGACUUUGAUUUGAUUCCUUCAAUAAUAGUUUAGCUCUUUAAAAUAAGUCCUGGGCAACUGGGCAUUCUUCUACUAGAGGAGAGUAAAUAUUGGAAGUUCAAGGGAUUUGGGGGCUGAUCAAGAAAUGAUUUACGAUCCUGACAGGCUGUAACAAACAACAAGCUUGAUGGGACAGUAUUUGGACAGGGUUGCAUAUCAGGAAAGGUCCUUAGAGCACGAGACCAUCCAGUGGUUUUAACAACAUUCCGGUGAUAUUAAACAGCAAGGCUGGGUCAGAAAGCUCCCAAGGGUAGCAGCUGCUCCUUCUGGCUUUGUAUUUACAAGACCCUAUCUUAGCAAUGGGUAACAAUUGUCUGGUGGUGCUUCCCAGAGUAUGCAAAACAAGCAGGCUUCAAAUGGCUUGUUUGGGUUAUGUUUUAAAUAAUUGGAUAUGCAAAAUAUUUGACUUUGGAGCGAGUGGGCUUUUGAGCUCGGGGUCUCAGCCUUCUGCAAAGAAAUAAGCAACCCAGUAGCCAAUACAUAGAGGCCAUCUUCGACUCACUUAUAUAAACAUAAGGAACUACAGUGUCUGCCUUACCUAAGAAUGGAUUGUUCAUCUUCAAGUGGACUGCUGUCAACUCAGAAGAUCCAUCAAAUGGCUUGUAUUAGUUUUCUAUUGCCACAGAAACACAUUACCGCAACUUAGUGGCUUACACAAGACAAAUUUAUUAUCUUACCGUUCUGAAAUUUGGAUGUCCAAAUUCGGGUCUUAGUGAGCCAAAAUCCAAGUGUUGUCAGGGAUCUGUUCCUUCUGGAGGCAAUGGGGAGAAUGUUUCACACAGUCUUUUCCAGGUUUUAGAGCCCAUUCUCAUUUCUUGGCUAGUGGUCUCACAUCAAAUCACCUUCCUUCAGACUCUUGAAUCACCACUUCUUCCCUCACGAUUCUUGUAAUCACAUUGGAUUCACCCAGAUAUCUCCUCAUUGCAAGAUUCUUACCUUCAUCACACUUGCAAAAUUCCUCUGCCAUGUAAGGCAACAUAUUCAGAGGUUCUGGGAAUCAGAAUGUGGACAUCUGUGGGGACAUUAUUCAGCCUCCCACUGGGUGCUGGGGAAGACACAGACUCCAGGUCUGUGAGGAGCCUCAGGUUCAGGACACAGAUAAAAGGAAUAUUAAUGGACUCCCUUCAAGGCAGCCCCUUAACUGCACUGAGUGGCUUCUGGAAGCAGGUAUAGCUAUUUUCAAACAUACAGGUGUUGAGAAUGAGAUUUACGGUUUCAACAAUUCAAGUUCUUCUAUCUCAGUGAAGUGUUCUGACUCCUAGCCCUAGGGCAGUUUGAGAGAUGGAGUCAAUAAAAUCAGACUCAUCUUUCCCAAGUUUCUCCCUCUUCAGACCAUACUGUUCUGUGUUCUCUUUUCAGAGUUUGGUCGUUCCACAUCCUGAAGUCCCAGUAAAUGACAGAUGACUCAGAUGCAGUCAUUGUUCUGGUAGAGCCCACGGCCCAGUGGGAAAGACAUAAAUAUAAACGGAGAUGACAUUUUCUUCCAGGACCCUGAGCAUCUAGCCAGAUCAUUGGUUCUGCAGCCCAUGGAUUGACACAUAAAUGCAUGUCUAGCCAUUUCUCCUUCCAAGUAAAGUGCACCACAAGGCACACUGCCCAAUGUGCUGCCUACUGGGAGGUUUUCCCUUUGCUACUGUCCUUCAUGGAUGUCCUGGAAAGAGGCUGUGGUGCUGCAGCUGUCUAAUUUGGUGUCUCCAUAUUAUGCAAAACCAUCUGAAACCAGGUUCGACUGUUGUCCUUCUCUGUCAGCUGAUCAUAGGGUGUGACCCAUGAAGCCACAGAUGCAGGCUGGAAGAGGGAAGGCAGUGUAGCAGCAGCAGGGACCACGGGCAUUUGGGUCACGUCUUCAUCUAAUUCACUUAUGCCUUUGGGACCUUCUUGGGCCUGAACCAGUAAACAGAACUUCCUUUGGGGAUGAAGUAUUGUACUGCAUGCCUAACCUCAUGGCUUGGUAGGUCAGGUAACACGCAGUUCAUUUUAGGCAACUCAGAUAGCAUGGAUAUUUAGUGGCCCAUAGUCAAGCAUUCAGUUUCUACUAAAGCCUAAUAGCUGGCAGAGAGCCCUCUUUCAAAAGGAGAGGAUUUUCUGCAGUUGAUGGCAGAGCUUGCUCCAAAAUCCUGAAGCCUGUGCUACUAUUUGCCUAUGUAGGCUACAAACAUUUCCAUCUGCUACUAACACUUCAAGCACAGGUUGUUCUGAAGCAUACAAGAUGAUUGAACCAUAUUCUAUAAUUUGGAUCUGAGUGGUCCAGGACUUGAGAAUGUAGCCUAACCUGAUGGAAUUAAGGCAGUGUCACAUGAAGGUUGAACCCACAAACCUAGAGUCAGGCUGAUGGGUUCAAAUCUCAACCUCUCUUCUGUCUAUCUAGAGCGGAAAUAUCUCUAAAUAGGCUGAAGAGAGUUUGACCCUGGACAAGUAAUUUGACUCCCAGUGCUUCAUUCCAUCAGUGUUAGAAUGGUGAUGAUAAUCACAAUCCCUCACUGGAUUAUGGAGAGCUGAAGAAUAAUCUAAUGUAUAGAAAAUUCUUUUUUUUUUUUGAGACAGAGUCUGGCUCUGUCACCCAGGCUGGAGUGUAGUGGCACAAUCUCGGCUCUCUGCGGCCUCUGCCUCCUGGAUUCAAGUGAUUCUUCUGCCUCAGCCUCCUGAGUAGCUGGGACUACAGGCAUGCACCACCACUCCUGGCUAAUUUUUGUAUGUUUAGACCGAAUUUCACCAUGUUGGUCAAGAUGGUCUUGAUCUUCUGACCUUGUGAUCCACCCGCCUCCGCCUUCCAAAGUGCUGAGAUUACAGGUGUGAGCCACCAUACGUGGCCAGAAAACUCUUAAAAACGGUUCUUCUGUGAUUACAUGAUUAGUAAGUAUUCAUUAUGGUUGUUGCCUCACUCUAACUUAGCUCUCUACUCAAAUACCACCUCACUAUAAAGGCUUCCACAACCACCUUAUAACUUCUGAUAACUUCCUAUUUUCAUUGUAUUUGAUUUGUCUUCACAGAACUGAUCAUUACUAGAUAUAGUACUAAUAUAUACUUAACGAUUAAAUAUUACUUUAAAUGUUGUCUCCUGUGUUUUAAUUUUUGAUGUGCCAGGAACUAUUCGUGGGACUGGGAAUAUAACAGUAACUAAAAGAUAAAAUUUCCUUCACCAUUUUUUCUGGUGUUGACUUAUUGACCUUCACUACUGGGAACCUGUCUCCUUGAGGGUCGGGACUUUGCGUUUUCGAUUCAUUGCUGCAAACUCAGAACCUAGAACAGUGACUCUCCUAAAAAGUCAACACUUACCGAACAAACAAAUGAGUGAAUGAAUAAUAUUUUUACCUGGCACAUAGAAAUUGUCACCCGGGAAGAAAAGAGGAGCAAAUCUUGAACCUCUUUAACACACAGAGAGCUGGGUAAUGGAAUGCAUCUGAGAUUUCCUCCUUAUGAUUCUGCAUGGUGUGUACUUUAUGUCUAUUCUUAGUGUGGAAAGUGAGACUCAGAGACAUCAAAUGCAUUCCUCAAGGACAAACAGCUAGAUGGAAACAGAGUCAGAAUUCUAUCCAGGUCUAUUUGACCACCAGCUCUGCACUUUACCUACUGUAUUCAUGCAGAAGAGCGCUGAGUUACAGGCCAAUAAUGAGAACUAGUGAAGGGCUGGCAAACACCUCCGUUACAUAAGGAGUUUCUCUAGGCUGUGUGCAUCACCCCACACUUCAUCUAAAAUAGAUGUUGGAGAUUUUAAACAUCUAGAGUUUAGAUACCUGAAAAAAUAAAUCAUUUUAGUGAUUUGUGGCAAAAGGAAGGAAGAAGCAGCAGGAGGAGGUGGAGGAGGAGGAGAAGGAGAAG
This is an RNA transcript of Callithrix jacchus (white-tufted-ear marmoset), 7585 nucleotides long. It is a transcript of the gene named heparan sulfate-glucosamine 3-sulfotransferase 1, with no coding region annotated. The record is from RefSeq and is a predicted model, not a curated record. Lineage: Eukaryota; Metazoa; Chordata; Mammalia; Primates; Cebidae.